RNAcentral lists this ribosomal RNA (253 nucleotides) under uncultured bacterium. RNAcentral describes it as "partial 16S ribosomal RNA". It matches the Rfam family "Bacterial small subunit ribosomal RNA", at positions 524 to 776 of the family's 1533-position model. The record is from RNAcentral.
UACAGAGGGUGCGAGCGUUAAUCGGAAUUACUGGGCGUAAAGCGCGCGUAGGCGGCUUUGCAAGUCGGGUGUGAAAUCCCCAGGCUUAACCUGGGAACUGCAUUCGAGACUGCAUUGCUAGAGUAUGGGAGAGGGAAGUGGAAUUCCGAGUGUAGAGGUGAAAUUCGUAGAUAUUCGGAGGAACACCAGUGGCGAAGGCGGCUCACUGGUCCAUUACUGACGCUGAGGUGCGAAAGCGUGGGGAGCAAACAGG